Bombus impatiens (common eastern bumble bee) is the source of this 498-nucleotide long non-coding RNA. RefSeq lists it as uncharacterized. The transcript has 3 exons. The record is from RefSeq and is a predicted model, not a curated record. Lineage: Eukaryota; Metazoa; Arthropoda; Insecta; Hymenoptera; Apidae.
UUCCGGGCCAGCAACCCGAAGCAAUAUCUUGUGAUAUUUUUAUCUGUUACUGUUUAAAAAGUAUGAUUUCAUCCAGUAACAAGGAAUGCUAUAGCAUACGUGACAAUUUUUAUAACGAAUACGGCAUCAAUUAAAGCAUAUUUAAUUCAGUAAGAAUUAAGUAGGAAGAUAAUUCGUAGAAGUUGCAUAAACGUAGUAUUAUUGGAAAACGCAAAUAAAGUAACUUGUUUUGUCAGGUUGUAGGAGAUGGGUGUAAGAAGUAUCCUUAAAACACAAAAUUGGCUAAUAUAGAUUAAUUGAAGAAUGUUGCAAAUAAAAUGUUGCGCCAAUGCAACGUUGUUCCUUAAAGGAUUAAUGGAUACUAAAACAUGGUAAUAAUAUAACAUGUUGAUAUUUUACGAUGUACAAGUAAUCGAUGAGGACGAGUUAUUUCACACUAUGAGAUGUGAGACGUUUGCAGUGUAUGCAGCGGGCGAUAAUCUGAUAUCGUCUGAACGU